GAAACAGUAGUUUAACCGGAAAAACAUUCGACUAAGCGGAAGGUUACAGGUUCGAGCCCUGUCUGUUUCU
This 70-nucleotide transfer RNA is filed under the name Chryseobacterium sp. 52. Its description in RNAcentral is "tRNA-Ser". It matches the Rfam family "tRNA". From Rfam's summary of the family: Transfer RNA (tRNA) molecules are approximately 80 nucleotides in length. Their secondary structure includes four short double-helical elements and three loops (D, anti-codon, and T loops). The record is from RNAcentral. Lineage: Bacteria; Pseudomonadati; Bacteroidota; Flavobacteriia; Flavobacteriales; Weeksellaceae.